Molecule: ribosomal RNA, 1245 nt
Filed under: Gerronema sp. TU112134
Lineage: Eukaryota; Fungi; Basidiomycota; Agaricomycetes; Agaricales; Porotheleaceae
Description: eukaryotic LSU rRNA
Rfam family: Eukaryotic large subunit ribosomal RNA (bases 627-1245)
Source: RNAcentral
GGAAGGAUCAUUACUGAAGAAUGGUAGGGUUGAGCUGACUCUUAGGGGUAUGUGCUCGCUCUAUCGCUUUUUCUACUCUCCACUGUGCACCUAUUGUAGGCUACAAUAACUCUCAAGUCCUCUCGCAAGGGGGGGUACAUUUGGAUAGAAGGCUAUGCAUUCAUUUGCUUGCUUUCGAUUUUGUAGCCUAUGUCUAUACAAACUCUUCAUAGUCUAAUGAAUGUGUAUUGUUGGUCUUUGACCGAUAAAUCAUAUACAACUUUCAGCAACGGAUCUCUUGGCUCUCGCAUCGAUGAAGAACGCAGCGAAAUGCGAUAAGUAAUGUGAAUUGCAGAAUUCAGUGAAUCAUCGAAUCUUUGAACGCACCUUGCACUCCUUGGUAUUCCGAGGAGUAUGCCUGUUUGAGUGUCAUUAAAUUCUCAAAACCUAACUGUUUUUACGAACGGUUAAGGCUUUUGGAUGUGAGGGUUUUGCUGGCUUCAAUCGAGUCUGGCUCCCUUUAAAUGCAUUAGUGGUUGCUUCAUUCACUAGAGUGUGAUAGUAUAUCUACGCUCGCUACAGUGAACUGAUUAAAGUUCAUCCGCUUCAAAAACGGUCUUGCUUCAAGACAAUUAUUUUGACUCAUUUGACCUCAAAUCAGGUAGGACUACCCGCUGAACUUAAGCAUAUCAAUAAGCGGAGGAAAAGAAACUAACAAGGAUUCCCCUAGUAACUGCGAGUGAAGCGGGAAGAGCUCAAAUUUAAAAUCUGGCAGUCCUCCGGCUGUCCGAGUUGUAAUUUAGAGAAGUGUUGCCCGCGCUGGACCGUAUACAAGUCCUCUGGAAUGGGGCGUCAUAGAGGGUGAGAAUCCCGUCUUUGAUACGGACUACCAGUGCUUUGUGGUGCGCUCUCGAAGAGUCGAGUUGUUUGGGAAUGCAGCUCAAAAUGGGUGGUAAAUUCCAUCUAAAGCUAAAUACAGGCGAGAGACCGAUAGCGAACAAGUACCGUGAGGGAAAGAUGAAAAGAACUUUGGAAAGAGAGUUAAACAGUACGUGAAAUUGCUGAAAGGGAAACGCUUGAAGUCAGUCGCGUUGUGCAGGAAUCAGCCUUGCUUUUGCUUGGUGUACUUUCUGUUCAAUGGGUCAGCAUCAGUUUUGACCAUUGGAUAAAGGUUAGAGAAAUGUGGCACCUUCGGGUGUGUUAUAGUCUCUGAUCGUAUACAGUGGUUGGGACUGAGGAACUCAGCACGCCGCAAGGACGGGCCUU